Punica granatum (pomegranate) is the source of this 1777-nucleotide non-coding RNA. The record is from RefSeq and is a predicted model, not a curated record. Lineage: Eukaryota; Viridiplantae; Streptophyta; Magnoliopsida; Myrtales; Lythraceae.
CUCUACUCCUACUCCUUCAGCAUCUUCCCGACGAGACGCUGUCACUGUAGAGAGGAUUACAGAGUCGACCAAAACCCCACGAAUUCCGCAAAACUUCGAACGGAGAAACAGAGAACCGGCAGCAGCUUCAAUGGCGGGUGACGGUCCUAAUCUCAAAUGCAGAAUGUACGAGGCGAGGUACCCGGAGGUUCACAUGGCGGUGAUGAUACAGGUGAAGAACAUCGUGGACAUGGGCGUGUACGUCUCGCUGCUCGAGUAUAACAACAUCGAGGGCAUGAUCCUCUUCUCCGAGCUCUCCCGCCGCCGCACCGGGUCCGUCAGCAGCCUCAUCAAGGUGGGCCGUUCCGAGCCGGUCAAGGUCCUCAGGGUCGACAAGGAGAAGGGCUACAUCUACCUCAGCAAGCGCAAGCUGAGGACGAAAAAAAAGGCCUGCGAGGAGAGGUACAAUAAGAGCAAGCUCGUCCACUCCAUCAUGCGCCGUGUUGCCGAGACCCUCAGCAUUGACUUGGAGGAGCUCUAUAUUCACAUCGGGUGGGCUCUCUACCGGAAAUAUGGACAUGCCUUUGAGGCAUUUAUGCUAAUUCUGACGGAUCCCGACUCUGUCCUGAGUUCACUGACCAAAGAGGUCAAGGAAAUCGGCCCUGAUGGGCAAGUGGUGACUAAGGUGGUUCCGGCUGUUACUGAGGAAGCGAAAGAAGCUCUGAUAAAGAAUAUCAAGAGAGGGAUGACCCCACUGCAACUGAAGAUUCGGGCUGACAUCGAAAUGAAGUGUUUCCAGUUUGAUGGCGUUCUCCACAUUAAGGAUGCAAUGAGAAAAGCUGAAGCUGCUGGAAACGACAAUUGUCUGGUCAAGAUUAAACUUGUCGCCCCUCCCCUCUAUGUCCUUACCACACAGACUCCUGACAAGGAGCAAGGCUUAGCAGUCGUAAACAAAGCAAUUGAGGCCUGCACCGCAGCAAUUGAACAACACAAGGGGAAACUUGUUAUAAAAGAGGCACCCCGAGCAGUGAGUGAGAGAGACGACAAACUACUGGCAGAGCACAUGGCCAAGCUUGGGACUUGGGAGGGAGAAUGAGGAGGUCAGCGGAGACGAAGACAGCUUCAAUGGUGGGUCACAGUCCUAAUCUUGAAUGCAGAAUGUACGAGACGAGGUACCCGAAGGUUGACAUGGCGGUGAUGAUAUGGGUGAAGAACAUCGCGGACAUGGGCGCGUACGUCUCGCUGCUCGAGUAUACAACAUCAAGGGCAUGAUCCUCUUCUCUGAGCUCUCCCGCCGCUGCAUCAGGUCCGUCAGCAGCCUCAUCAAGGUGGGCCGUACCGAGCCGAUCAUUGUCCUCAGGGUCGACAAGGAGAAGGGCUACAUCUACCUCAGCAAUUGCACAACACAAGGGGAAACUUUUUGUAAAAGCAGCACCCCAAGCAGCAACACUCUGUUUGGUGAGUGAGAGAGACGACAAACUACUGGCGGAGCACAUGGCGAAGCUUGGGAGGGAGAAUGAGGAGGUCAGCGGAGACGAAGACAGUGAGGAAGAAGAGGAAGAUACAGGCAUGGGAGAUGUCGAUUUGGAAAAUGCCGGCUCUGGGAUAACAGAAUGAGGAUAGAUAUAGGUCAAGGAGACAUUGAUUCGUAGGGCAUUUCGGUGAGUCUAGGAUCUUUACUUCUGAAACUACGUUCUUUCACGUUUUUAAGGGGCGUUUGGUUUCAGAGUUAAAGUAAUUUUGAUUUUGAUUAUGGAAAAAGACAAAUGAGAUGCUAUUAUAAAUUUGACUUGGAAAA